UCCGUAGGCGGUUUAGUAAGUCAGUGGUGAAAGCCCAUCGCUCAACGGUGGAACGGCCAUUGAUACUGCUGAACUUGAAUUAUUAGGAAGUAACUAGAAUAUGUAGUGUAGCGGUGAAAUGCUUAGAGAUUACAUGGAAUACCAAUUGCGAAGGCAGGUUACUACUAAUGGAUUGACGCUGAUGGACGAAAGCAUGGGUAGCGAACAGGAUUAGAUACCCUGGUAGUCCACGCCGUAAACGAUGGAUACUAGCUGUUGGGGGCAACUUCAGUGGCUAAGCGAAAGUGAUAAGUAUCCCACCUGGGGAUACGUUCGCAAGAAUGAA
RNAcentral lists this ribosomal RNA (325 nucleotides) under uncultured bacterium. RNAcentral describes it as "bacterial SSU rRNA". It matches the Rfam family "Bacterial small subunit ribosomal RNA", at positions 568 to 898 of the family's 1533-position model. The record is from RNAcentral.